RNAcentral lists this ribosomal RNA (253 nucleotides) under uncultured bacterium. RNAcentral's name for it is "partial 16S ribosomal RNA". It matches the Rfam family "Bacterial small subunit ribosomal RNA", at positions 524 to 776 of the family's 1533-position model. The record is from RNAcentral.
UACGCAGGGUGCAAGCGUUGUCCGGAAUUAUUGGGCGUAAAGAGCUCGUAGGCGGGUUGUCGCGUCUGCUGUGAAAACGCGAGGCUCAACCUCGCGCCUGCAGUGGGUACGGGCAGACUAGAGUGCGGUAGGGGAGAUUGGAAUUCCUGGUGUAGCGGUGGAAUGCGCAGAUAUCAGGAGGAACACCGAUGGCGAAGGCAGAUCUCUGGGCCGUAACUGACGCUGAGGAGCGAAAGCGUGGGGAGCGAACAGG